UUUUAGGGAGACCUACCCCAUUAAAGACUGAGAAUUAAGCGUAUUAGGUUUUAAUGAGGUCAUCCCAGGUCGUUCGAGAUUGGUUGAGCCUUUCAAAGUAUUAUUCGGCUCUGUUCACAGGCAAACUGCAAAUAUUUGGCAAAGUCAAUUCAGCAACAGGACGAAGAGUCAGACUGCUGGGUGAGAGUCCAGUCAGAACCUUGAAAACUGCAUAAGUAACGCGAAAGCAGGCAGACACAGACAUUGAAGAGAUGAUUGUGAAUGCA
This 266-nucleotide unclassified non-coding RNA is filed under the name Johanseniella sp. HA4236-MV2. RNAcentral describes it as "16S-23S ribosomal RNA intergenic spacer". The record is from RNAcentral. Lineage: Bacteria; Bacillati; Cyanobacteriota; Cyanophyceae; Nostocales; Nostocaceae.